UAUCACUAAGCGGAGGAAAAGAAACUAACCAGGAUUCCCCUAGUAACGGCGAGUGAACGGGGAUUAGCCCAGCACCGAAGCCUGUGUCCAUUUGGAUGCUAGGCACUGUGGUGUUUAGGUGGUAACGUGUCGGUUCAUCUGCUGCCCCAAGUCCAGUAAUGAAUAUGGCUCUUAUGUUGGCCCAGAGAGGGUGAAAGGCCCGUGGGGGUGGUUAGGUGAGUUGACCGGUUCCACCUUGGAGUCGGGUUGUUUGUGAAUGCAGCCCAAAGUGGGUGGUAGACUCCAUCUAAGGCUAAAUACUGACACGAGUCCGAUAGCGAACAAGUACCGUGAGGGAAAGUUGAAAAGUACUCUGAAGAGAGAGUAAACAGUGCGUGAAACCGCUGAGAGGUAAACGGGUGUAGUCAAGCUGCAAGCCUUGGGGAUUCAGCUGAUCAGUGUGAUGUGUGUGUACGAGCAUACUUUUGGUCUGUAUCGGUCCACCUAAACUGGUGGGCUUGACUCCACGUGGGUCAAGUGCUUGGGUGUCAAGUGGAUACUGAGCGCCGUGCAGGAUCCAAUUGCUGGUCAGUGCACUUCCUCAGGGUGUAAGCCACGACCGCCUUUGCUGCCGGUCUGCCGGGAUCAACCGUCUUGGUCGGGCUGAACAGCCCGUCCAGGUCGGGAUGGCAGGUAGCCUGGUGUGCACGUUCACGUGUGUGCUGGGUGUUAUAGCCGAUCCUUGUGCGGUCCAUAAACUGUGCAGUAUGGCGGAGAUGUCGGCGUGUUGGUAACAGCUCUCGUGCUAAAGUCUGCCGGCAUGAUCAAUGUCUGGCUGCCUGUAGUCGAUGUAAAAUUCGGCCUGGCUGCGGCUUGUUCAUGGUGUAGCGGGCGGCGGCGUGGGCUAGCCAUCGGUCUUUGGCCGGUUCGUCGUCUAUAGUCUGUGGCGUAGUGGUAGACGAUCCA
This 945-nucleotide ribosomal RNA is filed under the name Uropolystomoides australiensis. RNAcentral describes it as "partial 28S ribosomal RNA". It matches the Rfam family "Eukaryotic large subunit ribosomal RNA", at positions 41 to 624 of the family's 3401-position model. The record is from RNAcentral. Lineage: Eukaryota; Metazoa; Platyhelminthes; Monogenea; Polystomatidea; Polystomatidae.